RNAcentral lists this long non-coding RNA (614 nucleotides) under Equus caballus (horse). RNAcentral's name for it is "lncRNA (ENSECAG00000035788.3)". Lineage: Eukaryota; Metazoa; Chordata; Mammalia; Perissodactyla; Equidae. The record is from RNAcentral.
CCUGGAAGAGCAAAGGCAGGCAGGCGACGGAGUGGACCAAUACCUACAAGGUCCUCUUGAGAGGAAGGCAGCAGUAAUUGACCCUGUAACUAACUGAAUGCAUCUGGACUGUUGAAGAUGGAGAAAAUCAUCUCCAUGAGCAGAGCUAAGAAGUUUAAAAGAUAAUCUGUCAUACCAUGAAUUCAUGGACUAUUCCUGACCACAGAUUUAGGAUGCUCUCUGAAUAUCCUUUACCGGAAGCUGGAAACUGAUCCAUCUUCACAGACUGCAGGACUGGAAGUGUCCCAGAUGGGGCUAAUUAUGAUACUCAUUCCUCCGACCACACAGACUAGUUAUAUGAUUCAGGCUGGGCCAGUGAACUUAAAGACCAUAUGUAUGCUUCAGGGAAGCCUGGCUCCUCCCCCUCGUGAGAGUGUGAAGAGACCAGUAGGUGUAGGAAGAAAUGGAAUUAAUUUGAAGAGAGGAGCAGGGAUAAGAGGUAGAGGACAUCCAAAUUUUCCAUAUUUUCUAGCUUACUUACUCUACCAAGACAAAAUCAUUUAAAAAAAAAAUCUAGCUCAAGCUGCAUUUAUUAGUCCUGCAUGAUAUAUAAGGCCUUGAAGGACGUGAGUGUG